CUACGGGAGGCAGCAGUGAGGAAUAUUGAUCAAUGGGCGAGAGCCUGAACCAGCCAAGUAGCGUGCAGGAAGACGGCCCUAUGGGUUGUAAACUGCUUUUAUAAGGGAAUAAAGUGAGCCUCGUGACUCCUUUUGCAUGUACCUUAUGAAUAGGGACCGGCUAAUUCCGUGCCAGCAGCCGCGGUAAUACGGAAGGUCCGGGCGUUAUCCGGAUUUAUUGGGUUUAAAGGGAGCGUAGGCCGGAGAUUAAGCGUGUCGUGAAAUGUAGAUGCUCAACAUCUGCACUGCAGCGCGAACUGGUUUCCUUGAGUACGCACAAAGUGGGCGGAAUUCGUGGUGUAGCGGUGAAAUGCUUAGAUAUCACGAAGAACUCCGAUUGCGAAGGCAGCUCACUGGAGCGCAACUGACGCUGAAGCUCGAAAGUGCGGGUAUCGAACAGGAUUAGAUACCCUGGUAGUCCGCACGGUAAACGAUGGAUGCCCGCUGUUGGUCUGAAUAGGUCAGCGGCCAAGCGAAAGCAUUAAGCAUCCCACCUGGGGAGUACGCCGGCAACGGUGCAACUCAAAUGAAUUGACGGA
This 578-nucleotide ribosomal RNA is filed under the name uncultured Bacteroidota bacterium. RNAcentral's name for it is "bacterial SSU rRNA". It matches the Rfam family "Bacterial small subunit ribosomal RNA", at positions 339 to 917 of the family's 1533-position model. Lineage: Bacteria; Pseudomonadati; Bacteroidota. The record is from RNAcentral.